This 76-nucleotide transfer RNA is filed under the name Bacillota bacterium. Its description in RNAcentral is "Firmicutes bacterium (anaerobic digester metagenome) tRNA-Arg". It matches the Rfam family "tRNA". Rfam says of the family: Transfer RNA (tRNA) molecules are approximately 80 nucleotides in length. Their secondary structure includes four short double-helical elements and three loops (D, anti-codon, and T loops). Lineage: Bacteria; Bacillati; Bacillota. The record is from RNAcentral.
GCGCCUGUAGCUCAGGGGAUAGAGCAUCGGACUUCUAAUCCGAGAGCCGCAGGUUCGAAUCCUGCCAGGCGCGCCA